This 106-nucleotide small nucleolar RNA is filed under the name Nannospalax galili (Upper Galilee mountains blind mole rat). The record is from RNAcentral. Lineage: Eukaryota; Metazoa; Chordata; Mammalia; Rodentia; Spalacidae.
UCCCAAUGAUGAGUUGCCAUGCUAAUACUGAUCCCAGCCAGGCUGUGCUGCCAGGUUUGGGUGUCAGUGAGUUUAAUAAAACUUCUCAUGUGGAGACCUGAGGGAC